CCUACGGGAGGCAGCAGUGAGGAAUAUUGGUCAAUGGUCGGAAGCCUGAACCAGCCAAGUCGCGUGAGGGAGUAAGGCCCUACGGGUCGUAAACCUCUUUUGCCGGGGAGCAGUGCCCAGCUCGUGAGCUGGGAGGGAGCGUACCCGGAGAAAAAGCAUGGGCUAACCCGGUCCCAGCAGCCGCGGUAAUACGGGGGAUGCGAGCGUUAUCCGGAUUUAUUGGGUUUAAAGGGUGCGUAGGCGGGCCUUCAGGCCGGCGGUAAAAUUGCGGGGCUAAACCCCGCCGAGCCGUUGGAACCGGGGGCCUUGAGUACCGGAGAAGGACGCGGAAUGCGGGGUGUAGCGGUGAAAUGCAUAGAUAUCACGCAGAACCCCGAUUGCGAAGGCAGCGUACCGGCCGGUCACUGACGCUGAGGCACGAAAGCGCGGGUAUCGAACAGGAUUAGAUACCCCAGUAGUC
RNAcentral lists this ribosomal RNA (460 nucleotides) under uncultured bacterium. RNAcentral describes it as "partial 16S ribosomal RNA". It matches the Rfam family "Bacterial small subunit ribosomal RNA", at positions 338 to 795 of the family's 1533-position model. The record is from RNAcentral.